This 363-nucleotide long non-coding RNA is filed under the name Homo sapiens (human). RNAcentral describes it as "HSALNT0126008". Lineage: Eukaryota; Metazoa; Chordata; Mammalia; Primates; Hominidae. The record is from RNAcentral.
UUCAGGGGUUUCUGCUUUUGCAUCUUCCUCAUUUUCUCUUGCUGCCACCAUGUAAGAAGUACCUUUUGCCUCUCUCCAUGAUUCUGCGGCCUCCCCAGUCAUGUGGAACUAUGGCAUUAGAAGUGGAACCCAAAGUAGAGCCUCUUGCAACCCCCAGAAGCACCAAGAGACCAAGAAAAAUACCUACCAGGCCCAUUGUGUUCAUUGCUCUCUUGCAGAAACUGGUGAUUGUGGAGAUCAAGAUUCCAAAAAAAUCCAAAGAACGGGGUUUACAGAAGAAGACUGAGUAUUGUCUGACCUCAAGCUUACGGGAUGCCAGAACAGGGGACUCUACUGGGACAACCCUAUUGGCAUCACUAUUUG